UGUAUUUGCAGUGCUUAGAUGGGAUCUCAAAUGUGACCCCAGUUCACCCGUUCGUCACUAUCUGGACAGACCCCAAACACCAAUGAAACACAGGGUUCUGAGACCAGACAAGGAAACCCACAGAUGGACAUGCAGUGGUCAAUGCCUUCUAGAGGACAGAUUCUUCCUCCUCCACAACCAGGUAUGGGAUAUUGGCCGCCACCACCAUGGGGAUAUCCUACACAUCCAAUGGGGCCUUGGGGACGCCCCCAUGGCCAACACAACCACUUCCAUCACCAGCAGAUUCCGGCUCUCAUCAAGUGACUCCUCCCCCUCACGAUGACUUUGCGGACAGAUGUCUCAAUUCUAGUGGUGGAGCUAUGAACAACAAUCUGAUGUCCUGAUCGAGAGUCAUGGAGCUAAUGUUUGAACUUGUGUGUUUGAACUUGUGAACUAAAAUUGUGCACUAUGGAUGUGAACUUAUGUGAAUUUGUGAACUUAUGUAUUUGGACUUAUGUAUUUUUGUGACCUUAUGUAUUUGGACUGUGUGAAUUUGUGAUAUGAACAUGUAUCCAU
This is a long non-coding RNA of Zea mays, 555 nucleotides long. RefSeq lists it as uncharacterized. The transcript has 3 exons. The record is from RefSeq and is a predicted model, not a curated record. NCBI's taxonomy places the organism in Eukaryota, Viridiplantae, Streptophyta, Magnoliopsida, Poales, Poaceae.